UACAGAGGGUGCGAGCGUUGUUCGGAAUUACUGGGCGUAAAGGGCUCGUAGGUGGUCAACUAAGUCGGACGUGAAAUCCCUCGGCUUAACCGGGGAACUGCGUCCGAUACUGGAUGACUUGAGUUCGGGAGAGGGAUGCGGAAUUCCAGGUGUAGCGGUGAAAUGCGUAGAUAUCUGGAGGAACACCGGUGGCGAAGGCGGCAUCCUGGACCGACACUGACGCUGAGGAGCGAAAGCCAGGGGAGCAAACGGG
RNAcentral lists this ribosomal RNA (253 nucleotides) under uncultured bacterium. RNAcentral describes it as "partial 16S ribosomal RNA". It matches the Rfam family "Bacterial small subunit ribosomal RNA", at positions 524 to 776 of the family's 1533-position model. The record is from RNAcentral.